This 428-nucleotide ribosomal RNA is filed under the name uncultured bacterium. Its description in RNAcentral is "partial 16S ribosomal RNA". It matches the Rfam family "Bacterial small subunit ribosomal RNA", at positions 354 to 796 of the family's 1533-position model. The record is from RNAcentral.
GUGGGGAAUAUUCCGCAAUGGACGAAAGUCUGACGGAGCAACGCCGCGUGAAGGAAGAAGGCUUUCGGGUUGUAAACUUCUUUUGUCAGGGACGAAAAAAAUGACGGUACCUGACGAAUAAGCCACGGCUAACUACGUGCCAGCAGCCGCGGUAAUACGUAGGUGGCGAGCGUUGUCCGGAUUUACUGUGUGUAAAGGGCGCGUAGGCGGACUGGCAAGUCAGCUGUGAAAUACAGGGGCUCAACCCCUGAACUGCAGUUGAAACUGGUGGUCUUGAGUAUCGGAGAGGCAAGCGGAAUUCCUAGUGUAGCGGUGAAAUGCGUAGAGAUUAGGAGGAACACCAGUGGCGAAGGCGGCUUGCUGGACGACAACUGACGCUGAGGCGCGAAAGCGUGGGGAGCAAACAGGAUUAGAAACCCGAGUAGUCC